Non-coding RNA from Cinara cedri, 959 nucleotides. The record is from the annotation of a GenBank genome assembly. NCBI's taxonomy places the organism in Eukaryota, Metazoa, Arthropoda, Insecta, Hemiptera, Aphididae.
GUUUAAAUGUUCACCCCUCUAACGGCUCUAACUUAUUAAACACAGUUUUUCAACACUAAAAAAACGUUAUUUUAUAACUUAUAGCUGUUAGGAACUUUUAAACUCUCCUACCGUUUUUGACGGUUUGAAUGUAUUUUAAGUGUUUUUUUUUUUUUUUAAUUUUAAGUACGAAAAGUCCUGAGCCCCGUUGGCGGUUAAUGCAAUAUAGUAAAACGCCAUAACACACACAAUAGUAAAGCUGCGUUAAUGAUUCAAAUACAUAUAAUAGUUACCUAUUACAUGACAUGUUAAUACACAAUUUUACAUGGCGUUGAAUGAAAUAAGGUUAUUCUUUUCUUUUUUUUUUUUCAUAUAAAAUUGCAUAUUUCCCUUAAAUGGGUACCUAUACUUAAAAUAAUUAAUUCGAUAUCCACUGUGAAAAUCCCAUCUCCGUUUCUCCAGCGCCAAUACAUUUACAACUUGAUUAACCGCAACCGACAUAUCUCCGUGUGUCCUAUCAUCGAGGAGAUCUUAUCCAUUUAAUCGGUUUUCCAAGUUUGUAUUUCUGAGAUAUUAUAUUUUACAACAUUGAAAUUAUAGAAUUUUUUUAAAUGAUAAACAAAAAAGUAAAAUCGACGUUAUUUUUUUUUUCACGUUUAUAGGUACGAUCCGAGUGGGGUAAAGGUGCCCGUUACUGCAACGGGUAUUCGGGAAAAAAAAGCGAAAAUUCAUAACAUAAUGUAACAAAUAUAUAGGUAGGUAUGUAAUGAUUUUUGUGAUAUUUUCGAAAAAAUACGGCCGUGAUAUGCAUGCUUCUUUCGAAAAUAUUCACUCUACUCUAAAUUUCGCGUUAUCUGCGUUUAUUUCAAUCUAAACGUCACUGUAUGUUUUAUGUACGUUGUACGUAAACGAAAUAAUUUCGUUUCGCUGUCCGCCGUUAGUUAGACUGAUGAGGCAGUAUGUGUGCGGAUUUCGCGUCG